Molecule: long non-coding RNA, 2233 nt
Organism: Anguilla anguilla (European eel)
Lineage: Eukaryota; Metazoa; Chordata; Actinopteri; Anguilliformes; Anguillidae
Exons: 4
Source: RefSeq, a predicted model, not a curated record
GUGAGAGAUUUCUUUUGCAGUUGCUCUCUGCACCUGUAUACUCCUGUGUGUAAUGUGAAGCACUAAAUAUGUCAACAAGGAAGACUGAGCAAGCAUAUGGUAAUAAGCCGUAUCAUAAAUCAUGUAUUGGUCGUGCCAAAUGACAUGUAUCCUGCCUUCCACUCAUAGACUGUAUAAAAAUGUACAUGCCUUCCUGCCUUCCACGAUGCUUCCUGCCUACGCCACGGCUGAGCUACAUCUUUCCAGCAGGUGGCGCGGGACUUCACUUUCUGGUGCCUACUAUCGCCUUCUUCGGAGGGGGAGUGCGCAGCAUGAGUCGGGAGCCCUGGCCUUAGCGCUUUCGCUGCUCUUGGACGGAAGGUGUCAAGUUCUAGCCAGAUAACGCCAGUGGAAUGAUAUGCCGGUCCAGCGCCAAGUCUCACGGCAGCUCCAUCUCCAGUCUGCUGUCUUUCUCUGGGCUUUCGUAAACUGAACCAAAAAGAAGAAGUUUAAGGGCCAAUUCAUGGUGCAAGGGCCGGUUUUGCAUUUUCCAGCUGCUAGACCCUAGAACCCUUGUAAACCGUGUAAAACCAACACCCCCUCCUCCCAGAACAUGAACAUUUUAACAGAUUUUUAGAUAUGCCUUACACUUUUUGGGGGUCAAAAAGCCCAGCCACGUUUUCACUUCUUUUCCCUCAUCUGAUCUGUGAAAUGCUUUCAAAACCUGUCCAGGCCAUCAGAUCUACGCCCGUUUCGCGCUAAUUGGUCCCAGCGCUUCCUGCCGGAUGUUGCAGAAGCUCCAUUGGCAUUCACGUCACAGCUCCCUGUUCCUGCCAGCGCUGGCGGACGUCUGCUCCAGACGUGGCUCUCUUUAGAGGGCGGCAGGGGGCGGAAGCUUUGAAGAAACCUGCUGAUUGGAGGGAGCAGAACUGAAGCAGUGCAGGAAGAGAAGCAUCCUGGCUGGAAGAUGGAAGAGCAGGCAGGGGGAGCAGAAGUACACUGGCCAGGAAAGCAUCGAUUUUAAAUCUCAGGGCUUUGCAGUUUUGUGGAAUGCACAGUGUGGAGCAUGUCCUGAAGAGAGGUGUCGGGAUUCACCACAGAGAGCUCCUCCCUGGUGAAACCAUAGUGAUCCUGUUCUCCAAAGGCACGCUCAAGGCCAGCAAGAGCUUUCAUCUUCUUCCCCUGCCACCCUGACAGGAAAUCUUUCAAUGCCUCCUCAAAGCCUCUGAAGCAUCAUUCACUGCACAAAGUGUCUGGCGGAGCUGCUAAGAGAGAUGGGUCCGGCAGCUAAGGGUGUCUGCAGAGAGGAGAGAAGGAUCCAGCACAAGCUGUGUCCAUCUGAGCGUCUGUGAAUGGCGAGUGGUACAGAGGUAGGAACAGCUAGUUAUCUGGAAUUAUUUUCUUUUUGUUUCUCAAUUAAAUAUUUGGGAUCUCAAAUCCCAGCUGAAUUUGGAAUGUGCAAUUCGCAAACUACUGUAUGUACAAGCAUGAUCAUAUGCACCCCUGCUGACAGCUUGGAAAAGUGAAGACAACUCGCAGUUCUCCUUAAAAACACACGGUGUCAGCCAGCUGCUUCUUUUCAUACCGCAGCCACAAGCUGCGCACGAGCAGAGGAGACCCAAUUAUACGUGUGCGUGGGAAGCAAGCCAUAGGCGCCCGGAUGGCUAACAGGGGUCACUUGAACAAUGAACAACGCUAUCCCCACUAUCAGAGUCCCUCCCAUAUAUCCCUUGGGCAAUGUAAAGCCAAUUGUGUGGCACCCCUGUCGGGCUGCCGGCCACAGCUGGCACUGGUUAGAUUUUAUUCAAGACUAUGGUGCUCACGCACGUACCAAAAGGGGUCCUUUUACUGUGUGAGCUACCCAACAGCCCAAAAUUAUUUUUUUUCUUCCACAGCUAAGCCCCACCUACCUCAGGGGGUUGUAUGAGAGUGCAGACGGUUGUUUGCUUUCCUCCCUUGUAGCACUUUGUGUUGCAUACUACCAGAUAGCCCCCACUGGAAACAAUUAUUUAUUGUGCAUUUCUUGUUAUUGUGUAUCUUUCCCCCAUAUCUGAAAAUCUGCCCAUAUGAUCUUUUAAUAGCGCCACAAACCAUAGUUAUGUAUUUAAUUACAACAGUGUUACAAAGUAAAUCCAAGGAUUUAUUCAAAUUUCAGGACAACAAACCCUUUUUGGGUCUGUCCAUUCUGUCAAGGUGGCACCUACAAUUGCUUUACAAUAGGAACAAGUGUGACGUUUUACAGUUGGUGUCACAU